GCGCUUCUAAAGUAUUCCUAGCAAUUAGGGCACCGAGAGACCUACAAAUCACCAAUUAGGUGAUAGACUUUAGCUUUUUGAGUUGAAAUAACGAAGAAUGGAAGACAAGAUCACAUAGAGCUCAUGGAAUCAGAAAAUGGUGCGACUUACGUCAAAAACAGUGAUAAGAAAGGGGAAAGAUUUACUUACUCGAUGAAACAAUGAGAUGGUGGGUUCGAACGGAAGCCCUCGACGCCAGGAACAAUUUGAAGACACUAAAUGAAAUUUUGUACGGUUCAAAUUUUUGAAAAAGAAGAGAGAAGGUGGAGUAGAGUUAGGGUUUGACACUUAGAGAGAAAAGGGUUUUC
Molecule: long non-coding RNA, 347 nt
Filed under: Vigna radiata
Lineage: Eukaryota; Viridiplantae; Streptophyta; Magnoliopsida; Fabales; Fabaceae
Description: long non-coding RNA (VRAD_LNC010961)
Source: RNAcentral